UGUGAACUCGAAGAGUAGGGCGGGACACGUGGUAUCCUGUCUGAAUAUGGGGGGACCAUCCUCCAAGGCUAAAUACUCCUGACUGACCGAUAGUGAACCAGUACCGUGAGGGAAAGGCGAAAAGAACCCCGGCGAGGGGAGUGAAAAAGAACCUGAAACCGUGUACGUACAAGCAGUGGGAGCACCUUCGGGUGUGACUGCGUACCUUUUGUAUAAUGGGUCAGCGACUUAUAUUCUGUAGCAAGGUUAACCGUAUAGGGGAGCCGCAGGGAAACCGAGUCUUAACUGGGCGUUAAGUUGCAGGGUAUAGACCCGAAACCCGGUGAUCUAGCCAUGGGCAGGUUGAAGGUUGGGUAACACUAACUGGAGGACCGAACCGACUAAUGUUGAAAAAUUAGCGGAUGACUUGUGGCUGGGGGUGAAAGGCCAAUCAAACCGGGAGAUAGCUGGUUCUCCCCGAAAGCUAUUUAGGUAGCGCCUCGUGAACUCAUCUUCGGGGGUAGAGCACUGUUUCGGCUAGGGGGUCAUCCCGACUUACCAACCCGAUGCAAACUACGAAUACCGAAGAAUGUUAUCACGGGAGACACACGGCGGGUGCUAACGUCCGUCGUGAAGAGGGAAACAACCCAGACCGCCAGCUAAGGUCCCAAAGUCAUGGUUAAGUGGGAAACGAUGUGGGAAGGCACAGACAGCCAGGAUGUUGGCUUAGAAGCAGCCAUCAUUUAAAGAAAGCGUAAUAGCUCACUGGUCGAGUCGGCCUGCGCGGAAGAUGUAACGGGGCUAAACCAUGCACCGAAGCUGCGGCAGCGACACUAUGUGUUGUUGGGUAGGGGAGCGUUCUGUAAGCCUGCGAAGGUGUGCUGUGAGGCAUGCUGGAGGUAUCAGAAGUGCGAAUGCUGACAUAAGUAACGAUAAAGCGGGUGAAAAGCCCGCUCGCCGGAAGACCAAGGGUUCCUGUCCAACGUUAAUCGGGGCAGGGUGAGUCGACCCCUAAGGCGAGGCCGAAAGGCGUAGUCGAUGGGAAACAGGUUAAUAUUCCUGUACUUGGUGUUACUGCGAAGGGGGGACGGAGAAGGCUAUGUUAGCCGGGCGACGGUUGUCCCGGUUUAAGCAUGUAGGCUGAUUGUCCAGGCAAAUCCGGAUAAUCAAGGCUGAGGUGUGAUGACGAGGCACUACGGUGCUGAAGUAACAAAUGCCCUGCUUCCAGGAAAAGCCUCUAAGCAUCAGGUAACAUCAAAUCGUACCCCAAACCG
Molecule: ribosomal RNA, 1253 nt
Filed under: Klebsiella pneumoniae
Lineage: Bacteria; Pseudomonadati; Pseudomonadota; Gammaproteobacteria; Enterobacterales; Enterobacteriaceae
Description: partial 23S ribosomal RNA
Rfam family: Bacterial large subunit ribosomal RNA
Source: RNAcentral